UACCGUAAGGUAUGCUGGAGGUAUCAGAAGUGAGAAUGCUGACAUGAGUAGCGAAAAGAAGAGUGAGAGACUCUUCCGCUGAAAGUCCAAGGUUUCCUGCGUAAAGCUAAUCUGCGCAGGGUUAGUCGGUCCCUAAGGCGAGGCAGAGAUGCGUAGUCGAUGGCAAUCAGGUUAAUAUUCCUGAACCGGCCCGGAAGUGACGGAUUGAGUAAAUUGUAAGUUCUUAUUGGAUUGAGCUUGCAGUGAAUCAGUCCCAGGAAAUAGCCCGGGUUAAGACCGUACCCGAAACCGACACAGGUGGACAGGUAGAGAAUACCAAAGCGCUUGAGAGAACUAUGUUGAAGGAACUAGGCAAAAUACUUGCGUAACUUCGGGAUAAGCAAGCCCCAUUUUAAGGCAACUUAGGGUGGGGGGCACAUACUAGGGGGUAGCGACUGUUUACUAAAAACACAGGGCUCUGCUAAAUUGAAAGAUGAAGUAUAGGGUCUGACGCCUGCCCGGUGCUGGAAGGUUAAGGAGAGAUGUGCAAGCAUUGAACUGAAGCCCCAGUAAACGGCGGCCGUAACUAUAACGGUCCUAAGGUAGCGAAAUUCCUUGUCGGGUAAGUUCCGACCUGCACGAAUGGCGUAACGACUUCCCCGCUGUCUCCAACAUAGGCUCAGCGAAAUUGAACUCUGAGUUAAGAUGCUCAGUACCCGCGGUUAGACGGAAAGACCCCGUGAACCUUUACUAUAGCUUUGCAGUGGUAUUAGGUAACAAAUGUGUAGAAUAGGUGGGAUGCUAUGAAGCUACGACGCCAGUUGUAGUGGAGCAGACUUUGAAAUACCACCCUUUUGUUGUUUGAUAUCUAACCUGCUCCCGUUAUCCGGGAGAGGGACCCUGCAUGGUGGGUAGUUUGACUGGGGCGGUCGCCUCCCAAAGAGUAACGGAGGCGCGCAAAGGUUGGCUCAGAUUGGUCAGAAAUCAAUCGUCGAGUGCAAUGGCAUAAGCCAGCCUGACUGCGAGAGAGACAUUUCGAGCAGAU
This 1024-nucleotide ribosomal RNA is filed under the name human gut metagenome. RNAcentral's name for it is "bacterial LSU rRNA". It matches the Rfam family "Bacterial large subunit ribosomal RNA", at positions 1259 to 2398 of the family's 2925-position model. The record is from RNAcentral.